UCUGAAUCUGCGAACGGCUCCGCAAACCAGUUGUAAACCACAGCAAGCCUGCGACGGUCGGACUCCGGUCUGGCCUGAGCGAUACGGAUAACCCUGGUAAUUCUAAGGCUAAUACGUGUAUGUAACACCCGGUGGACCGGCUUCGGCUGGGAAAUCGGGAGACGAGUGAUGGAAUGUUUGGAUUACCAGGAACGGGCACUCGCCUUGACCGCGCUACAAAGGAUGAACCUCCGGGGGACUCCCAGCGGCUCUUGCGCGGUGCUUCUGACCUAUCAACUAGAUGGCAGCGUAAAGGACAUGCUAUGGU
Molecule: ribosomal RNA, 307 nt
Filed under: Lamproderma scintillans
Lineage: Eukaryota; Evosea; Eumycetozoa; Stemonitida; Stemonitidae
Description: bacterial SSU rRNA
Rfam family: Eukaryotic small subunit ribosomal RNA
Source: RNAcentral